UGCUCAGUAGUCAGUGUAGGAUCUGUCCGACAGUCUCACUAACAGCUACAUCUGAUUACUGGGUCAC
RNAcentral lists this microRNA precursor (67 nucleotides) under Gallus gallus (chicken). RNAcentral's name for it is "Gga-Mir-221-P1c_pre stem-loop". It matches the Rfam family "mir-221 microRNA precursor family", at positions 10 to 73 of the family's 84-position model. Lineage: Eukaryota; Metazoa; Chordata; Aves; Galliformes; Phasianidae. The record is from RNAcentral.